RNAcentral lists this ribosomal RNA (470 nucleotides) under uncultured bacterium. RNAcentral describes it as "bacterial SSU rRNA". It matches the Rfam family "Bacterial small subunit ribosomal RNA", at positions 29 to 483 of the family's 1533-position model. The record is from RNAcentral.
AUUGAACGCUGGCGGAAUGCCUUACACAUGCAAGUCGAACGGUAGCGCGGGGCAACCUGGCGACGAGUGGCGAACGGGUGAGUAAAGCAUCGGAACGUGCCCUGGAAUGGGGGAUAACGUAGCGAAAGUUACGCUAAUACCGCAUAUUCUGUGAGCAGGAAAGCAGGGGAUCGCAAGACCUUGCGUUCUGGGAGCGGCCGAUGUCGGAUUAGCUAGUUGGUAGGGUAAAGGCCUACCAAGGCGACGAUCCGUAGCGGGUCUGAGAGGAUGAUCCGCCACACUGGGACUGAGACACGGCCCAGACUCCUACGGGAGGCAGCAGUGGGGAAUUUUGGACAAUGGGCGAAAGCCUGAUCCAGCCAUGCCGCGUGAGUGAAGAAGGCCUCGGUUGGUUAAAGCGUCUUUCGGUUGGGGGAAGGAAAAGUUUAGGCAAUUGGGCGUAAUACCCUGUGUAGAUGACGGUACCUGGA